This 618-nucleotide long non-coding RNA is filed under the name Brassica rapa (field mustard). Its description in RNAcentral is "long non-coding RNA (BRAP_LNC003684)". Lineage: Eukaryota; Viridiplantae; Streptophyta; Magnoliopsida; Brassicales; Brassicaceae. The record is from RNAcentral.
GAUCACAGGAUGCAAGGAUUUCAGACAGGUAUCUGGAGCUGCAGGUAAAAGUUAGUUCCUAGUUUCUCUCUCUCUAAAUUUCUCUCUUGAGUCAAAGUCUGCUUCCAUUGCAGGAUCAGUGACAAAGAUUGGACAGGCUUCCAUGAAUCAAAACUUAAUGGUGGUUGCCACCAAGUUCUGUUCACUUCUUUUUGACCUAUAUCUAAGAGUUCUUUGCGAAAGCGAGCCUUGAAGAUUGCCGCCUCCAAGUCCCGUUUCGAACUCUUUUAUUUGAGUCUUUAUGAAUUAAGCCUUAAUGGUUUUAGCCACCAAGUCCUGUUCAGACUCAUCCUAAUUAAACAAUAGAUCUUACUUACUCUUUUUUUUUAUUAUUAUUUUUUUAUUGCUAUUUUUUUUACAUAUACUCUAUAACUAAUCUAGGGUCGAAAUCUAGAGAGAGAAAAUGUAAUAAAUAAUCUAAACCAGGCGUUACCUUCCAGACCUAUCUGAAGAAUUCGAUCCCAUGUAUACCAAGCCCCAAGACAAGCGGUUAUGUCAGGUUUAGUGUUGGAAAUCAGCUUUGGUUACUUCAUACGGUUCAAGGCAAGUGUGUAGUUGAUAGGUUGAUCUGCUUUAGCA